AACGAACGCUGGCGGCAUGCCUAACACAUGCAAGUCGAACGAGACCUUCGGGUCUAGUGGCGCACGGGUGCGUAACGCGUGGGAACCUGCCCUUAGGUUCGGAAUAACUCCCCGAAAGGGGUGCUAAUACCGGAUAAUGUCUUCGGACCAAAGAUUUAUCGCCUUUGGAUGGGCCCGCGUUGGAUUAGCUAGUUGGUAGGGUAAAAGCCUACCAAGGCGACGAUCCAUAGCUGGUCUGAGAGGAUGAUCAGCCACACUGGGACUGAGACACGGCCCAGACUCUUACGGGAGGCAGCAAUGGGGAAUAUUGGAAAAUGGGCGAAAGCCUGAUCCAGCAAUGCCGCGUGAGUGAUGAAGGCCUUAGGGUUGUAAAGCUCUUUUACCCGGGAUGAUAAUGACAGUACCGGGAGAAUAAGCUCCGGCUAACUCCGUG
This 433-nucleotide ribosomal RNA is filed under the name uncultured bacterium. Its description in RNAcentral is "partial 16S ribosomal RNA". It matches the Rfam family "Bacterial small subunit ribosomal RNA", at positions 29 to 507 of the family's 1533-position model. The record is from RNAcentral.